CUUUUUUUUUUUUUUUUUUUUUUUGUUAUUGCUUAGGAGUAAGUUUGAGAAGCUGAUGGCCAGACUUUUAUUAAGCCCAUCCAGGUCCAUAUGAUAUCUUCUUGAAUCACCUUUAAGAAAAUAUAUGUAGUCUGACAAAUUGUUGCUAUUACUAUUUGAGGAGAGGAAAGCUGUCUUUUCAGUAAGCUACUUGCCAGAAGUAAACCUAGUGGCAGCGGAAAACUCAAUUGGCUUUGCAGUCAAAUAGACCUGGAUUUUAAUUCCAGACCUAUGGUUGCUGGAAGUGUGGCCUUGGGAAACACUUAACCUCUUUGAGACUCAGUUUCUUAUCAAUUUUGGACAUGAAGAGAAAUGGCCCUGAGAACAUGGCUUGGGGCUGCCAUGAUAAAAUACCACAGACAGUAUGGCUUAAGCAGAAAAUUAUUUUCUUACAGUUCUGGAUGUUUAAAAUCCAAGGUCAGGGUUUUGGCAGAGUUGGUUUCUUCUGAGGACUCUCUUCUCGGCUUGCAGAUGGAUGCCUUCACUCCACAUCCUCACGUGGCCUAUUCUAUGUAUACAAGCCCGUCUGCUGUUUCUUCCUCUUCUAAAGGCACUAAACAUUGGAUUGGGACUCCAUCCCAGAAUAUCAUUUCACCUUUAAAAGCUUGUCUCCAGAUGAAGUCACAUUGGGGCUAGGGUUCCCCAACAUAGGAUUUUGGAGAGACGCAUUUUAAUCUAUAACAGUGGGAAAGUUGGAGAACACAUUUGUCAUAUGAAGAAACUGAGUUCACCUUUUCCCCCCACUCAAGUUUUAGACUUGAAAAAAAGAGGCCUUUUGUUACAAUCUUAGAACAAAGCUGUAAUAAAUAAAGCUGGUUAUUUUAUAGGUGCACUGGUCCUUAGUGUGUGUGUGUCCAAACCAUUGUAAGUGAUUUGGGUUUCUUUGAGUUGAAUUGGAGUGUAUGGAUCACCUAUAUAAGAGAGUAUUUCUUAAUUGGACACCAGUAUGGUCCAAGAGCAUCUCCUUAAUAUCAUCUGGGUUAGAUUUAGACAUCUUCUUCCCAGAACAAUAGGGCCCUUGAUACCCCUUUGCAAACUUUGAAGAAACUAUCUCCACUCUCUGAGACCAUGUUAGAUGAAGUCUGGGGCCCUUAAACUGAUGGUGAUACUAUCAAAACCCCUAUAUCAGAAGUGAGGAUAUAUAUAUAUUUCUUUUUGACAGGUCCAAAGCAUGCUUUAACCUGGGCUUGGUUUCAGAGUCUCUUCCCAUCUUGCAUCUCCUCCCCUUUCCUUUUGUCUUUUCACAGCUCUCUAUGUGAAAACUUCUUCCAACUUCCUGCUUAGACACUCUGGAAACCAUGUGCUCUUAAUGGCAGAAUUUCCCAUAUUCCCAUUUCUUUUAACAGAAAUGUGUGUAUACUUAUAUCUCCAUGCUUGAAUCUAGGCAUUCCUUUGAGUACAACAUUUACCCUGAACCCCCUUACCUAGAAGUCCAUGAACCAUGGAUGGGCAGAGGAUGGAUGAUUUUCUGGUCAGCCUGUUGUCUUCAUCUUCCACUUUGAGGGCUUCUUUUGAGGUUCUUGAUAACUAACAGUAUUAUUUUCUACCCACCUUAUCAAUGACAUCCAUGGAUCUCCUGAUGACUUUCCCCUAGUUUGGAAGACUUUGGAUUCAAACUCACACUUCUCCUCUCUAUUGCAUUGAGGGUACAGUCCGUACAAUACACUAGUUUACAAGACCUUGAUUUCUUCAAUCCUAUUGUCUUCACUUACGCUUCUAUUCAACAGCAACCCAUUCCCAGGCCCCUCACUCACAAAUAUUAAUCUCUAAUAUUUCCCUGUUUGACCACAAUCUCCUUUAAUCUCUUUUGCAUUCUCACUUUCAUUAUCUCUCAUACUUAAUUUUUUAAAAAUUGAAAUAUAGUUGAUUUACAAUAUUCUAUUUCCAGGUGUAUAGCACAGUGAUUCAGUAUUUUUGUAGAGUAUGCAAUCUAGAUUAUUACAAAAUAAUGGAUAUAAUUUCAUGUGCUGUACAAUAUGUCCUUGUUGCUUACUUAUUUUAUGAACAGUGGUUUGCAUAUCCUUAUCUUGCCACUCCCCCUUCCCUUUCCCCAUUGGUAACCAGUAGUUUGUUUUCUCUAUCUGUGUAUCUGUUCUUUUCUCUGCGUAUAUUUGUGCUUUUUAAAAAAUUCCAUGUACAAGUGAUAUUACUCGGUAUUUAUUUUUGUCUUAUUUCAAUAAGCAUGGUAUUCUCUAGGUUCACCCACAUUGUUGCAAAUGGCAGAAUUUUGUUUAUGGCUAAUAUUCCUGUGUAUAUGCAUACACAUACACACACACAUAUAUAUACACAUGUAUGCACAUACACGCAUAUACACCGUAUCUUUAUCUGUUUGUCUGUUGAUGGACAAUUGAGUUGCCUCCAUAUCAUGGCUAUUGUAAGUAGUGCUUUUAUGAACUUUGGGGUGCAUGUAUCCUUUUGAAUUAGUGUAAUCAUUUUAUGCAGAUACAUACCAAGGAGUGGAAUUGUUGGAUCAAGUGGUUGUUCUGUUUUUAGGUUUUUAAGAAAACUCUAUACUGGUUUCCAUAGAGGCUGCACCAAUUUGUGUUCCCACCAAAUGUAUACUAGAAUUCUCUUCUUUCCACAUCCUCACCAACAUUUUCUAUAUGUAGACUUUUUGAUAUCACCUAACACCUAUUGGAAUGUCUACUUCUUUGUAGUUUUCUUUUGCAUUUCUCUAAUAAUUAGUGGUUCAGCAUCUUUUCAUAUGCCUGUUAGCCAUUUUAUGUCUUCUUUGGAAAAAUGUCUAUUCAGAUAUUCUGCCCAUUCUUUGAUUGGGUUGUUUGGGUUGUUUUGAUGUCGAGUUAUAUGAGCUAUUGAUAUAUUUUGGAUAUUAACCCCUUGUCAGUCAUUAGCAUUUAAAAAUAUUAUCUCCUAUUCUGGGGGUUGUCUUUUUGUUUUGUCAAUCAGUGGUUUCCUUUACUGCACAAAAACUUUUAAGUUUAAUUAGGUCCAAUUUGUUUAUUUUUGCUUUUAUUUCUUUUGCCCUAGGAGGCAAAUCCAUAAACAUAUUGCUACAAUUUAUGUCAAAGUAUGUUCUGCCUAUGUUCCCUUCUGGUAGUUUUGUUUUGGGUUUUGCAUUAGGUAUUUAAUCUGCUUUGAAUUUAUUUUUGUUUAUGGUGCAAGGAAGUGUUCCAACUUCAUUGUUUUACAUGUAGCUGUCCAGUUUCCUAGUACCAUUUAUUGAACAGACUGACUUGUCUGCAUUGUAUAGUCUUGGCUCCUUUAUCAUAGAUUAAUUUCCCAUAGGGGUGCAGGUUUACUUCUGGGCUUUCUAUUCUAUUACAUUGAUCUGUUUGUUUUUGUGCCAGUCUCAUGCUGUUUUGAUGACUGUAGCUUUGUAGGAUAGCCUUAAGUCUGGAGGGUGGUACCUUUAGCUUUAUUUUCCCCCUCAAGAUUGCUUUGGUAAUUUAGCGUCUAUUGUGACUCCCUAUGAAUUUUAGGAUUAUUUGUUCUAGUUCUGUGAAAAAUGCCAUGGGGGUUUGAUAGAGAUUGCAUAAAUCUGUAGAUUGCUUUGGGUAUUCUCAGUAAACCUAAGUCUAGGAUGAGACAAAUUCACGGAAUUCUACCAAACAUAAAAAGGAGUGCUAAUACCUGUCCUUCUCAAGCUAUUCCAAAAAAUUAAAGACGAUGGACCACUCCCAAAUUCAUUCUAUGAAGGCACCAUUACUGCGAUACUAAUACCAGAAAAAGACACUAUGAAAAAAGAAAAUUACAGGCCAACGUCUUUGACUAUAGAUGCAGAAAUUCUCAGCAUAUUAGCAACUGAAUCCUACAGUAUAUUGAAAGGAUUUAUUCCAGGGACAUAAGGAUGGUUCAAAAGAAAUCCUAUUUCAAAUCACAUCAAAAAUAAUAAAAUACAUAGGAACAGACUUAACCAAGGAGGUGAAAUACAUGUAGCCUGAAACUGUAAAACACAGAUGAGGAAUCUGAAGAUGGUACAAAGAAAUAGAAAGAUAUCCUGUGCUCUUGGAUUGGAAGAUUGAAUAUUGUUCAUAUGGUCAUUAUCUCUCAUAUUUGAUCUCAUAGGAAAUUAAAGUCCAUGUAUAUCAGUUACUUCCUGACAUGUUUAGUUCCCCUUUUCAGCUCAGCCUCUUUGAAUAUCUCAACUAUGCUUCCUCUGGUAGUGUGAGUACCCUUACACUGUCUAUUGCAUCCAUCUAUAAAAACUUAUUCCUUUAGGAAUGCUGCAUUUCACUACAAAAUACAUUAUAUAACUUUAUCCUCACAACUUGUGCAAGAGAGACAAGGCAGGAGUUAUUUUUCUUGCUCUUCAGUUUAGAAAGCAGAACACAAGCAAGAUUAGGUGACUCAUCUAAGAAUAUGCUCGUAGUAUAUAAAAGAAUAUAGAGAACAGAAAUCUCAGGAUCCUGACUCAUUUUUUUCCCCUCUGGACUAGUGGUUUUAAAGCUGUGAUUUUUUUUUUCAGAUUUUUAUUUUUGUCCACAAAUUGAUGUCUUGACGUAAAAAAUAGAUAAAAAUAGAGAUACUUUUAUUGAAAAUUGACUCUGGAGGAUACAGAGUCCCUAUCUAUUCAGCUGCCUCUUUGCUACUCAAGUUUGUUAUGCCCUAAGAAUUUUAUGGAAGGAACACAUUUUGGGUUUAGGAAUAGGUUGUUUUAUGGUGCUCUGCUUUAUUGUUCCUCCCAGUUAAGAGGUUUUGUUUUGUUACAAAUGAAGGCUUUUGGCAACUAUGUAUCCUAUGAGUUUACCAGCUCUAUUUUUUUUUUAACAGAAUUUGCUCACUUCAUGUCUCUGCCACAUUUUUGUAAUUAGCAUAAUAUUUCAAAAUUUUUCCAUUAUUAUUAUAUAAUGGUGAUCUGUAAUCAGUGAUCUUUGUUACUUUUUUUGGGUUCCAUGAAUUGCACCCCUAAAGAUGACAAACUGAAUUGAUAAAUGUUUUAAGUGUACUGACUGCUUCACUGACCAGCCAUUCCUCCAUUUCUUUUCCUUUCUUCAGGCCUCCCUAUUCUCUAGACACAAGAAUGUUGAAUUAUGCCCAUUAAUAACCCUACAAUUACUUUGUGUUAAAUGAAGAGUCACACAUCUCUUACUUUAAAACAAAAGGUAGAAAUGAUUAAGUUUAGUGAGAAAGGCAUGUCAAAAACUAUGAUACGUCAAAUGCAGCACCUCUUGCAUCAAACAAUUGGCCAAGUUUUGAGUGCAAAGGAAAAGUUCUUAAAGAACAGUAAAAGUGCUAUUACAGUGAACAUACAAAUGGCAAGAAAGCAAAAUAGCUUUAUUGCUGAUGUGGAGAAAAUUUCAGUGGUCUGGAUAGAAGCUCAAACCAUCCACGACAUUCCUUUCAGGAAAAACCUUAUCCAGAGAAAGGUCCUAACUCUUCAGUUUUAUGAAGCCUGAUAUCAUUGAGGAAACUGCAAAAGAAAAGCUUGAAUCUACCAGAGCUUGGUUUGUGAGGUUAAAGGAUAGAUGCUAUCUCCAUGUCAUAAAAUUGCAAGACGAAGCAGCAAGUACUGAUGCAGAAAUUACUCUGAGAAGAUCUAGCUAAGAUAAUUAUUAAAUACUAAACAGAUUUUCAAUGUAGAUAAAACAGCUUUAUAUUGGAAGAAAAUGCCAUCUAAGAUUUUCAUAGCUAAAGAGGAUAAGUCAAUGCCUGGCUUCUGUGUAUAGGCUAACUCUCUUGAUAGGGACUAACACAGCUAAUGGCUUGAAGUUGAAGCUGGUACAUAUUUAACUAUUCCAAAAAUCCCAGGUCUUAAGAGUUAUGGGAAUUCUACUCUGCCUAUGCUUUGGAAAAACAAAGCCUCAAUGAAGCACAUGGGUGUGCAACUUGUUGUGCUGGAUAUUUUCAGCCCACUAUCGAGACCGACUGCUC
RNAcentral lists this long non-coding RNA (5871 nucleotides) under Sus scrofa (pig). RNAcentral's name for it is "lncRNA (ENSSSCG00000056349.1)". Lineage: Eukaryota; Metazoa; Chordata; Mammalia; Artiodactyla; Suidae. The record is from RNAcentral.